This 305-nucleotide ribosomal RNA is filed under the name uncultured organism. RNAcentral describes it as "bacterial SSU rRNA". It matches the Rfam family "Bacterial small subunit ribosomal RNA", at positions 82 to 411 of the family's 1533-position model. The record is from RNAcentral.
AGUUGAAGACAAAGUGGCGAACGGGUGCGUAACGCGUGGGAAUCUGCCAAACAGUUUGGGCCGAAUCCCAAAGAAACGAAAGCAAAAAAGCUUCGAUAAAGCUAAAAAGCGCUGUUUGAUGAGCCUGCGUAGUAUUAGGUAGCUGGUUGGGUAAAGGCUGACCAAGCCGCAGGUGCUUAGCUGAUCUUUUCGGACGAUCAGCCACACUGGGACUGAGACACGGCCCAGACUCCGUAGGGAGGCAGCAGUGGGGAAUAUUGGACAAUGGGCGAAAGCCCGAUCCAGCAAUAUCGCGUGAGUGAGUG